CUUCUAGCAGGGGAGUGUGUGUGUGUGUGUGUGUGUCCUUACUGUCUGUCUUCUAGCAGGGGAGUGUGGGAGUGUGUGUCCUUACUGUCUGUCUUCUAGCAGGGGAGUGUGUGUGUGUGUCCUUACUGUCUGUCUUCUAGCAGGGAGUGUGUGUGUGUGUGUGUCCUUACUGUCUGUCUUCUAGCAGGGGAGUGUGUGUGUGUGUGUGUGUGUGUCCUUACUGUCUGUCUUCUAGCAGGGGAGUGUGUGGGUGUGUGUGUGUGUCCUUACUGUCUGUCUUCUAGCAGGGGAGUGUGUGUGUGUGUGUGUGUCCUUACUGUCUGUCUUCUAGCAGGGGAGUGUGUGUGUGUGUGUGUCUU
This is a long non-coding RNA of Oncorhynchus tshawytscha (Chinook salmon), 359 nucleotides long. Lineage: Eukaryota; Metazoa; Chordata; Actinopteri; Salmoniformes; Salmonidae. The record is from Ensembl.